This 1273-nucleotide ribosomal RNA is filed under the name feces metagenome. Its description in RNAcentral is "bacterial LSU rRNA". It matches the Rfam family "Bacterial large subunit ribosomal RNA", at positions 1271 to 2533 of the family's 2925-position model. The record is from RNAcentral.
UGCUGGAGGUAUCGGAAGUGCGAAUGCUGACAUGAGUAACGAUAAUGCGGGUGAAAAACCCGCACGCCGAAAGCCCAAGGUUUCCUUGCGCAACGUUAAUCGGCGCAGGGUGAGUCGGCCCCUAAGGCGAGGCAGAAAUGCGUAGUCGAUGGGAAGCAGGUUAAUAUUCCUGCACCUCGCGUAAGUGCGAUGGAGGGACGGAGAAGGUUAGGUGUACCAGGCGUUGGUUGUCCUGGGGAAAGGCGGUAGGUUUGGAUCUUUGGCAAAUCCGGGAUCCUUUAAGACCGAGCACCGAGACGAGCCUUUAUGGCGAAGUCACUGAUACCACGCUUCCAGGAAAAGCUCCUAAGCUUCAGCUUACGCAGACCGUACCGUAAACCGACACAGGUGGGUAGGAUGAGAAUUCUCAGGCGCUUGAGAGAACUCGGGUGAAGGAACUAGGCAACAUGGCACCGUAACUUCGGGAGAAGGUGCACCCUUUUUGGUGGCUCGUGCGAGCUAUAGCUGAAGAGGGUCGCAGUAACCAGGCCGCUGCGACUGUUUAUCAAAAACACAGCACUCUGCAAACACGAAAGUGGACGUAUAGGGUGUGACGCCUGCCCGGUGCUGGAAGGUUAAUUGAUGGGGUCAGCCGCAAGGCGAAGCUCUUGAUCGAAGCCCCAGUAAACGGCGGCCGUAACUAUAACGGUCCUAAGGUAGCGAAAUUCCUUGUCGGGUAAGUUCCGACCUGCACGAAUGGCGUAACGACAGCGGCGCUGUCUCCACCCGAGACUCAGUGAAAUUGAAAUCGCUGUGAAGAUGCAGCGUUCCCGUGGCAAGACGGAAAGACCCCGUGAACCUUUACUAUAGCUUUACACUGAACGUUGAGUUCGUCUGUGUAGGAUAGGUGGGAGGCUAUGAAACUGUGGCGCUAGCUGCAGUGGAGCCAUCCUUGAAAUACCACCCUGUCGUGCUUGACGUUCUAACCUGGGCCCAUUAUCUGGGUCGGGGACCGUGUAUGGUGGGUAGUUUGACUGGGGCGGUCUCCUCCUAAAGAGUAACGGAGGAGCUCGAAGGUACGCUCAGCGCGGUCGGACAUCGCGCACUGUGUGCAAAGGCAUAAGCGUGCUUGACUGCAAGAUCGACGGAUCAAGCAGGUAGGAAACUAGGACUUAGUGAUCCGGUGGUUCUGUAUGGAAGGGCCAUCGCUCAACGGAUAAAAGGUACUCCGGGGAUAACAGGCUGAUACCGCCCAAGAGUUCAUAUCGACGGCGGUGUUUGGCACCUCGAUGUC